Long non-coding RNA from Pelobates fuscus (common spadefoot toad), 503 nucleotides. RefSeq lists it as uncharacterized. The transcript has 3 exons. The record is from RefSeq and is a predicted model, not a curated record. Lineage: Eukaryota; Metazoa; Chordata; Amphibia; Anura; Pelobatidae.
ACUCAUGUAAAACACUCUAUAUAUGCUAUAUUGAAACUUACAAAAGUAAAAUCUCCUUAGAAAGCAAAAUAAACAAAAACUUCCCUUCCAUACACUUGUAAUCUAAUCAUGGAGGCCAUAAAGGACUUAUUUUUCUAAUAUUCCAUGAUAUUAAGAACAUUAAUUCUGCAAUAUUUGCUUUCAUUUUCUCAGCACAAGUGGAAAACCCCAGUGACAUUGAUGCUAUCUCAGAACGUAUACCAAGGCAGGCCAAUAAUGAACAAUUCUCUGUGAAAUGUGGCACCACAAUGGGAACAUUCUUCAAAAAUAAAUGGAAUGGAGGAUCAUCAACCGAUGAGUGUAUCGAGUCCAACGGAACAUUCUAUACGGUCAUUGGAUUUGAAUCUCAUGGAGGAAGGGAGUCCUGGAAAUGCUGGAAAAGAAGCAUUACAUGUGAAGGUGUUAAACUAGAAGUCUUAGUACAGAAUGGGAUCUUGCAGCCUUUAUAGAAAAAAAUUGAAGUA